CACCAUUCUAGACAGAGAAGAAGCAGCUGAUGAAGGAUUAUUAUCAUGGAUGCAUCACAGACCAGUAUUUUCCUCGAUUCACAUGACAACCCUAUAAGAGAGGAGGAAGAAAAACAGCAUGGUAUAGUGGAAAAAGGGCUGGAUUUGGAGUCCAAGGAUCUACAUUCAAAUCAUGGCUCUGAUACUUAUCAUCAACAUGCCCUUGGGAAGUACAUAAAGGCAAAUAUGAACUCACCAAUUAUUGACUCAGGCGACUCAAGAAGCUGAAGAGGCAAAGAAAUGUCUUUGUCCAAAUUGAAGUCUUCCAACAGGAUAUUGUGGUCAUCUUGUAACAGAUUGUCUUAAAAAUAUAAGAUGUAACUUUAUUAUGGAAAGUUUAAAAAGCAUACUCAUGAAAAUAAAAGUUGAAUAAAGUAUGUUGGAUAUAAUUUUGA
This is a long non-coding RNA of Phascolarctos cinereus (koala), 434 nucleotides long. RefSeq lists it as uncharacterized. NCBI's taxonomy places the organism in Eukaryota, Metazoa, Chordata, Mammalia, Diprotodontia, Phascolarctidae. The record is from RefSeq and is a predicted model, not a curated record.